UUAAUUGAAGAGUUUGAUCAUGGCUCAGAUUGAACGCUGGCGGCAGGCUUAACACAUGCAAGUCGAGCGGUAGCACAAGGGAGCUUGCUCCCUGGGUGACGAGCGGCGGACGGGUGAGUAAUGUCUGGGAAACUGCCUGAUGGAGGGGGAUAACUACUGGAAACGGUAGCUAAUACCGCAUAACGUCGCAAGACCAAAGAGGGGGACCUUCGGGCCUCUUGCCAUCAGAUGUGCCCAGAUGGGAUUAGCUAGUAGGUGGGGUAAUGGCUCACCUAGGCGACGAUCCCUAGCUGGUCUGAGAGGAUGACCAGCCACACUGGAACUGAGACACGGUCCAGACUCCUACGGGAGGCAGCAGUGGGGAAUAUUGCACAAUGGGCGCAAGCCUGAUGCAGCCAUGCCGCGUGUGUGAAGAAGGCCUUCGGGUUGUAAAGCACUUUCAGCGAGGAGGAAGGUGGUGAGCUUAAUACGUUCAUCAAUUGACGUUACUCGCAGAAGAAGCACCGGCUAACUCCGUGCCAGCAGCCGCGGUAAUACGGAGGGUGCAAGCGUUAAUCGGAAUUACUGGGCGUAAAGCGCACGCAGGCGGUUUGUUAAGUCAGAUGUGAAAUCCCCGGGCUCAACCUGGGAACUGCAUUUGAAACUGGCAAGCUAGAGUCUCGUAGAGGGGGGUAGAAUUCCAGGUGUAGCGGUGAAAUGCGUAGAGAUCUGGAGGAAUACCGGUGGCGAAGGCGGCCCCUGGACGAAGACU
Molecule: ribosomal RNA, 751 nt
Filed under: Serratia marcescens
Lineage: Bacteria; Pseudomonadati; Pseudomonadota; Gammaproteobacteria; Enterobacterales; Yersiniaceae
Description: bacterial SSU rRNA
Rfam family: Bacterial small subunit ribosomal RNA
Source: RNAcentral